This 253-nucleotide ribosomal RNA is filed under the name uncultured bacterium. RNAcentral describes it as "partial 16S ribosomal RNA". It matches the Rfam family "Bacterial small subunit ribosomal RNA", at positions 524 to 776 of the family's 1533-position model. The record is from RNAcentral.
UACAGAGGGUGCGUGCGUUAAUCGGAAUUACUGGGCGUAAAGCGUGCGUAGACGGUUUCGUAAGUCGGGUGUGAAAUCCCCGGGCUCAACCUGGGAAUUGCAUUCGAAACUGCGAGGCCAGGGUACGGAAGAGGGAAGCGGAAUUUCUGGUGUAGCGGUGAAAUGCGUAGAUAUCAGAAGGAACACCGAUGGCGAAGGCAGGUCUCUGGGCUGACACUGACGCUCAUGCACGAAAGCGUGGGGAGCAAACAGG